Molecule: unclassified non-coding RNA, 22 nt
Filed under: Mus musculus (house mouse)
Lineage: Eukaryota; Metazoa; Chordata; Mammalia; Rodentia; Muridae
Description: oocyte_clustered_small_RNA12667
Source: RNAcentral
GGCCAGGCCCACCGUGGCUGGG